AGAGUUUGAUCCUGGCCUCAGGAUGAACGCUGGCGGCGCUGCCUAACACAUGCAAGUCGAGCGAUUCUCUUCGGAGAAGAGCGGCGGACGGGUGAGUAACGCGUGGGUAACCUGCCCUGUACACACGGAUAACAUACCGAAAGGUAUGCUAAUACGGGAUAAUGUACUUUUGUCGCAUGGCAGAAGUAUCAAAGCUCCGGCGGUACAGGAUGGACCCGCGUCUGAUUAGCUAGUUGGAGAGGUAAUGGCUCACCAAGGCAACGAUCAGUAGCCGACCUGAGAGGGUGAUCGGCCACAUUGGAACUGAGACACGGUCCAAACUCCUACGGGAGGCAGCAGUGGGGAAUAUUGCACAAUGGGCGAAAGCCUGAUGCAGCAACGCCGCGUGAGUGAUGAAGGCCUUCGGGUCGUAAAGCUCUGUCCUCAAGGAAGAUAAUGACGGUACUUGAGGAGGAAGCCCCGGCUAACUACGUGCCAGCAGCCGCGGUAAUACGUAGGGGGCUAGCGUUAUCCGGAAUUACUGGGCGUAAAGGGUGCGUAGGUGGUUUCUUAAGUCAGAGGUGAAAGGCUACGGCUCAACCGUAGUAAGCCUUUGAAACUGAGAAACUUGAGUGCAGGAGAGGAGAGUAGAAUUCCUAGUGUAGCGGUGAAAUGCGUAGAUAUUAGGAGGAAUACCAGUUGCGAAGGCGGCUCUCUGGACUGUAACUGACACUGAGGCACGAAGCGUGGGGAGCAAACAGGAUUAGAUACCCUGGUAGUCCACGCCGUAAACGAUGAGUACUAGGUGUCGGGGGUUACCCCCCUCGGUGCCGCAGCUAACGCAUUAAGUACU
Molecule: ribosomal RNA, 832 nt
Filed under: uncultured bacterium
Lineage: Bacteria
Description: bacterial SSU rRNA
Rfam family: Bacterial small subunit ribosomal RNA
Source: RNAcentral